RNAcentral lists this ribosomal RNA (253 nucleotides) under uncultured bacterium. RNAcentral describes it as "partial 16S ribosomal RNA". It matches the Rfam family "Bacterial small subunit ribosomal RNA", at positions 524 to 776 of the family's 1533-position model. The record is from RNAcentral.
UACGUAGGUGGCAAGCGUUAUCCGGAAUUAUUGGGCGUAAAGCGCGCGUAGGCGGUAAGAUAAGUCUGAUGUGAAAGCCCCCGGCUCAACCGGGGAGGGUCAUUGGAAACUGUUUUACUUGAGUACAGAAGAGGAGAGUGGAAUUCCAUGUGUAGCGGUGAAAUGCGCAGAGAUAUGGAGGAACACCAGUGGCGAAGGCGGCUCUCUGGUCUGUAACUGACGCUGAGGUGCGAAAGCGUGGGGAUCAAACAGG